Molecule: ribosomal RNA, 468 nt
Filed under: uncultured bacterium
Lineage: Bacteria
Description: partial 16S ribosomal RNA
Rfam family: Bacterial small subunit ribosomal RNA
Source: RNAcentral
GACGAACGCUGGCGGCGUGCUUAACACAUGCAAGUCGAACGGAAAGGCCCUGCUUUUGUGGGGUGCUCGAGUGGCGAACGGGUGAGUAACACGUGAGUAACCUGCCCUUGACUUUGGGAUAACUUCAGGAAACUGGGGCUAAUACCGGAUAGGAGCUCCUGCUGCAUGGUGGGGGUUGGAAAGUUUCGGCGGUUGGGGAUGGACGCGCGGCUUAUCAGCUUGUUGGUGGGGUAGUGGCUUACCAAGGCUUUGACGGGUAGCCGGCCUGAGAGGGUGACCGGCCACAUUGGGACUGAGAGGCGGCCCAGACUGCUACGGGAGGCAGCAGUGGGGAAUAUUGCACAAUGGGCGGAAGCCUGAUGCAGCAACGCCGCGUGCGGGAUGACGGCCUUCGGGUUGUAAACCGCUUUCGCCUGUGACGAAGCGUGAGUGACGGUAAUGGGUAAAGAAGCACCGGCUAACUACGUG